This is a long non-coding RNA of Physeter macrocephalus (sperm whale), 1435 nucleotides long. RefSeq lists it as uncharacterized. Lineage: Eukaryota; Metazoa; Chordata; Mammalia; Artiodactyla; Physeteridae. The record is from RefSeq and is a predicted model, not a curated record. The transcript has 3 exons.
GAGCGGGUCGGGGCAGGGCUGGGCUGUCGGGGCCGGGCCGGGCGGGGCCGCGCGGGAGGAGUAAGAAGACAGAGGCAGCUCGGCGCCAGCCCGACCGAGCGUUGGUCGUGCUCACCAAGUCGGAGUAUGGCCCAAUGUCAGGGCCGGUCCUGACGGUGGGCAAAGGUUUGAGACCAUUUUUCAAUCUUCGUGGAUUUCUGCAGGCAUCAAGUUUCCGAAAAUAUAGUACUCUUGCAAAUAAUCUUCCUAAUCAAUUACUUCACCAGGGAAUGAUGGCAGUCUUAAAGCCUGUUUUGGAUUUUGUCCACCAUUGCUUGGUAUGAUUUCUACUGGUUAGUCUGAAAUAUAUUGAUAUAAUUGGCAAAGCAGAUACGGCGAACAUGAGAAGUGCUCUCAGAUAAUUAUGAAGUGCCUCGUGUAUUUGUUUGUUUGAAUGCAUUAUGUUUUUCCCAUCAGUGAGGCCAAAACCUGAAAUUUAAAAACUGUGAUUCCCCCAAAGUUGUGUCACGUACGGUCAAAUGGCUGGCUGUAUAUAAAGGAGUCCUCUUCUCUCUCUGUCUAAAGGAAUUGUUUGGAGAGUUUCCCUACAGAAUCUGUCACAUAGAGAAACUGUUGCUUGGGAACCUGAUAAAAAGACAUAUGUUAAGCAGUAGCGCUUUCCAUGGUGUUUGUUUAUAGAAAUAUAUUUAUUACUUUAAGACCAAAAUUAGACGAUAGCAAAUAAGCCUAUGUUUCUCUUUUUCUUAGUGUUAGAUUUCGGGAAUAAUAAUGUUUAAUGUUCUAGAAAAUAGCAUUUACUUACAGGGUAUGCAUUUCCGAAAUAAAUUCCGAUUGGUGAAAACAGCAGAGGACUGCCUGGAAUUCCUAAGGGACCUGGACCCAGGCAUUCUAAUUAAUUGUAUUCCAAAUAACCGAAAUGGAAACACAGUAUUUAAUGCAGUAGUUAAUAACAACAUUGUAUCCUUUAAGGAUUCUUAUUAACUCUAACGCUUUUUUUUUUUUUUUUUUUUUUGGUAACUCUUCCGCUUUUGUGAUAGACACGCAGAGACACAUUAUUAUUUUCUUUGGUUUUCUGUGGAGGGCUCUGCUGGGCCUUCCUGCCUGUAACAGCAGCUGGCCCCGCUGCAGGACGUUCAUGUUGGGCUGUCGUAGAAAACAUGGGUAACAGGUGGCACAGAAAAUUUUUUACUUCACACGAGAAGGAUGGUGAAGUUAAAGAAUCAGUUGACCUUGAAAGUUUCCCACGGGAAAGGAAGCGCCUGGGAACCUGCUGGGUGACCCCUCACCUGAGGACAUUGGAGCUCAUGAUCAUGAAGGUCAUCGGUGAUGGUCUUAACCCUUCCUGUGUGGAUUGUCCUGAAGUCAAAAGACCGACUUUUCUUUGUUAUAAGUGCCUCCAAAUAUAUUAAAUUACCAUUUAUCAAGUACCACAAUU